RNAcentral lists this ribosomal RNA (253 nucleotides) under uncultured bacterium. RNAcentral's name for it is "partial 16S ribosomal RNA". It matches the Rfam family "Bacterial small subunit ribosomal RNA", at positions 524 to 776 of the family's 1533-position model. The record is from RNAcentral.
UACAGAGGUACCGAGCGUUGUUCGGAAUCACUGGGCGUAAAGCGCACGUAGGCGGAUGUGUCAGUCAGGGGUGAAAUCCCGGAGCUCAACUUCGGAACUGCCUUUGAUACAGCACGUCUUGAGUCCGAUAGAGGUGGGUGGAAUUCCUAGUGUAGAGGUGAAAUUCGUAGAUAUUAGGAAGAACACCGGUGGCGAAGGCGGCCCACUGGAUCGGUACUGACGCUGAGGUGCGAAAGCGUGGGGAGCGAACAGG